RNAcentral lists this ribosomal RNA (511 nucleotides) under uncultured bacterium. Its description in RNAcentral is "bacterial SSU rRNA". It matches the Rfam family "Bacterial small subunit ribosomal RNA", at positions 28 to 530 of the family's 1533-position model. The record is from RNAcentral.
GAUGAACGCUAGCGGGAGGCUUAACACAUGCAAGUCGAGGGGCAGCAUAGGGUAGCAAUACUCUGAUGGCGACCGGCAAACGGGUGAGUAACGCGUAUGCAACCUACCCUGUACAGGGGGAUAACCCGGAGAAAUUCGGACUAAUAUCCCGUAAUAAUAUCCGGAGGCAUCUUUGGAUAUUUAAAGUUCCGACGGUACGGGAUGGGCAUGCGUAACAUUAACUGGUUGGUAAGGUAACGGCUUACCAAGGCUAUGAUGUUUAGGGGUCCUGAGAGGGUGGUCCCCCACACUGGUACUGAGACACGGACCAGACUCCUACGGGAGGCAGCAGUGAGGAAUAUUGGUCAAUGGGCGCAAGCCUGAACCAGCCAUCCCGCGUGCAGGAAGACGGCCCUAUGGGUUGUAAACUGCUUUUCCAGGGAGAGAAACUUACGCACGUGUUGCGUGACUGACGGUACCCUGGGAAUAAGCAUCGGCUAACUCCGUGCCAGCAGCCGACGGUAAAACGUAG